This 253-nucleotide ribosomal RNA is filed under the name uncultured bacterium. RNAcentral's name for it is "partial 16S ribosomal RNA". It matches the Rfam family "Bacterial small subunit ribosomal RNA", at positions 524 to 776 of the family's 1533-position model. The record is from RNAcentral.
UACGAAGGGUGCAAGCGUUAAUCGGAAUUACUGGGCGUAAAGCGUGCGUAGGUGGUUUGUUAAGUCUGCUGUGAAAGCCCCGGGCUCAACCUGGGAACUGCAUUUGAAACUGGCGGGCUUGAGUGUGGCAGAGGGGGGUGGAAUUCCGCGUGUAGCAGUGAAAUGCGUAGAGAUGCGGAGGAACACCGAUGGCGAAGGCAGCCCCCUGGGCCAACACUGACGCUCAGGCACGAAAGCGUGGGGAGCAAACAGG